GCCCCCGUACUCCAACUGGCAGAGAGGGCGCUCUCAAACAGCGCACAGUGUGGGUUCGAAUCCCACCGGGGGCA
Molecule: transfer RNA, 74 nt
Filed under: Pseudonocardia charpentierae
Lineage: Bacteria; Bacillati; Actinomycetota; Actinomycetes; Pseudonocardiales; Pseudonocardiaceae
Description: Pseudonocardia sp. DSM 45834 tRNA-Leu
Rfam family: tRNA
About the family: Transfer RNA (tRNA) molecules are approximately 80 nucleotides in length. Their secondary structure includes four short double-helical elements and three loops (D, anti-codon, and T loops). Further hydrogen bonds mediate the characteristic L-shaped molecular structure. tRNAs have two regions of fundamental functional importance: the anti-codon, which is responsible for specific mRNA codon recognition, and the 3' end, to which the tRNAs corresponding amino acid is attached (by aminoacyl-tRNA synthetases). tRNAs cope with the degeneracy of the genetic code in two manners: having more than one tRNA (with a specific anti-codon) for a particular amino acid; and 'wobble' base-pairing, i.e. permitting non-standard base-pairing at the 3rd anti-codon position.
Source: RNAcentral